Molecule: ribosomal RNA, 253 nt
Filed under: uncultured bacterium
Lineage: Bacteria
Description: partial 16S ribosomal RNA
Rfam family: Bacterial small subunit ribosomal RNA
Source: RNAcentral
UACGUAGGUGGCAAGCGUUGUCCGGAUUUAUUGGGCGUAAAGAGCUCGUAGGCGGUUUGUCGCGUCUGCUGUGAAAACUCGGGGCUUAACCCCGGGCCUGCAGUGGGUACGGGCAGACUAGAGUGCGGUAGGGGAGACUGGAAUUCCUGGUGUAGCGGUGAAAUGCGCAGAUAUCAGGAGGAACACCGGUGGCGAAGGCGGGUCUCUGGGCCGUAACUGACGCUGAGGAGCGAAAGCGUGGGGAGCGAACAGG